UCGCUCAAACAGCCUGAGCGCGGAGACCUCCACUCUGCCUCGCGCCGCUCGCUGCCGUCCUCCUUGCCCGCGCCGCCGCUGCGAACUUGCUCUCACUUCCCGCCUCCCGGUGACCCUGCAGCCGCAGAUCCCUUCGUGCGCGCGCCCUCCCUCCUGCCCUACCUCCAUCCAGCACGUACAACUUGGAAGGGCGCCGCGCCGCCGCUACCAGCGAAAUUCUGAUAUAAACUUGCAAGCUUGUUUUAUUCUUUCUCGUUUUUAACUCUCAGAAGCUUGGUCUAUGAAGUGUAAUCUUUUUGCGGGAUCUUCCUUCUUUGACUGGUGCCAUCAAUGCAAAGACGGGUUGGGAUUCAUCGUCUAUGCACCGAGCAGUGCCAGGGUUCCUGCGUCGAGCCCUUAUAAACAGAAAUCAUCCCCCGGUAUUGUGCCUUUCCUCUCUGGCUUGUAGCUUUAAGAGCUUGGAUAAUCAAGAACCCAGUCGAAGCUCUUUUUGCAGCGAGUAUAGAAACCGGUGUAUUCAUCCUUUGAUCGCACUAGCAGUCCGGACAUCGAAUUUGGAUCAGGCCAGAAAGAUUACCUUCAGGGAGUGUGUCAGGUUAUAUGGGCUAUCCCAGUCAGUUGGGUUGUUUGCAUUGCUUAUGCGGUCAUUCUUGCCGCAUGGAAUCACAGACAUCCGGUGCUUGAUUCAGAGCAUUGUUGAUUACUGCGGGGAUGCUGGGCCAGAGUUGUUUGAGUUGGCACCUAUGUUGGUCAGCAACAUGGGUGGGUCGAUGACAUUGCUACAAGUUUAUGCCACAAUCAUUUGGAUUUUUGUAGAUCUGUCAAUGUUUGAGGAUGCUCUUCUCACUUACAUUGAGGCCAAGAAGGUUGGAGUUGAGUUGCGGGUGUGCAACUUCUUACUGAAGAGCUUAGUUGUAAAGAAACAAAUCUUGCACGCAAGGAGUUUGUUUGAUGAUAUGAAGAGUUCUAGUCCUUCACCAAAUGUCUACUCUUAUUCAGUUUUGAUGAGUGCGUAUACCCAUGGAGAUAAGUUAUGCUUGGAGGAAGCCUUUGAGCUUCUUCGUGAAAUGGAAACAAAAGGUGUGAGGCCGAAUGCUGUAACAUUUGGUACUUACCUCUAUGGGCUAUGCCGUGCCAGACAGGUGACAUCUGCAUGGAACUUUCUUCAAAUGAUUUGUCAGAGAGGCGACCCUUGCAACAUUUACUGUUUUAAUGCAGUGAUUCAUGGUUUCUGUCACGAGGGUCAGCUUAAAAAAGCAAUAGCGGUGUUUGACGUGAUGAAGAAGGGUGGGUUUGUCCCAGAUGUCCAUAGCUACAGCAUAUUAGUUGAUGGGUUAUGCAAAAAAGGGGAUCUGUUGACAGGCUAUUACAUGCUUGUUGAAAUGGCAAAGACUGGAAUUGCCCCUACUCUGGCAAGUUACAGUUCACUUUUGCAUGGUCUUUGCCGAGUUGGAAAUAUUGAAUGGGUGUUUGAGCUUUUUAAGAGGCUCGAAGAGCAUGGUUUCAAGCCUGACCACAUAGUGUACAGCAUUGUUCUUCAUGGCUGUUGCCAACAUUUGGAUCUAGACGUUACCUGUGACCUUUGGAAUGACAUGGUUCAUCAUAAUUUUGUUCCAGAUGUCUACAAUUACACUAGUCUGAUAUUUGCAUACUGUAGACAUGGGGACCUUGAAGAAGCAUUGAGUGCAUUUGAGCUCAUGCUCGAUAAUGGGAUAAGUCCAAACAUUGUGACCUGCACAAUUCUUGUCAAUGGCUUCAGUAACAAAGGCCGGAUUGCUGAAGCCUUCACAUUCCUGGAUAAAGUGCGCCAGUUUGGAAUUUUCCCCAACCUUUGUACAUACAGGGUUAUCAUCAAUGGCCUGUUUAAGGUCAACAAAUCUGAUGAUGUAUGGGGAAUUUUCGGGGAUAUGAUAAAAAGGGGUUAUGUUCCUGAUACUGUGAUUUACAGUAUUAUUAUUGAUGGUUUUGUGAAAGCUUUGGAUCUGCAUGAGGCUUUCAGGUUGUAUCAUAAAAUGGUGGAUGAGGGGACAAAACCUAAUAUCUUUACGUAUACUAGCCUGAUAAAUGGUAUGUGCCAUGAUAAUAGACUUCCGGAAGUUAAGACAUUGUUUAAUCAUAUGAUUGGGAAGGGUAUAAAACCGGACAUGAUUUUAUAUACGUCUCUAAUUGCAUGCUAUUGUAAGCGCUCAAACAUGAAGGCAGCUCUGGAAAUAUUCAGAGAGAUGGAAAAGGAGGGUUUGCCUGCAGAUGCUUUUGUUUAUACUUGUUUAAUUGGUGGAUUCAGUAAAGUACUUGCAAUGGAUGGUGCAAACAUGUUGAUGGAAGAAAUGAUAAAUAGGGGUCUUACACCUACUGUAGUAACUUAUACAGAUCUCAUAAUAGGAUACUACAAAACUGGAGAUGAGAGGAAAGCUAAGAUGAUGUACAAGAGUAUGCUCCAGGCAGGCAUUACACCGGAUGCCAAGAUGAUGUGUAUACUGGGAUUUGACAGUUGUGAAGAUGAUUUUGAGGAUUCUCCGGAAGAUAAGGGUGUAGCAUAGGUUUUCACAUAGAGAUAUAUAUUAACUUGGUCAACACAAUAAUUUCAUAAUGCUGAUGAGCUCUAUUAAUCAGUCAAGCUGAACCUAGCCCUUUUGGGUUGGCGGUGCUGAUGUAACUUCAUUGCUAUUAUGUCCACGAAGUGAAUGAGAAUUUCCAAGGAUCGAGCUAUUUCUUGUUCACGAGGUUUUCAAGAAGUUCCUGUGCAGUGCACUACCUUGAAGUCAAGGUAUGAUUAGUUUCACAAUUAUGUUCUUGUAUUUCUUAUUUUUCUUUGCAAGUUUGGUUGAGUAUCAACUGAAAAGUUCACAUGCAUCCAUCAACACCAACUUUGCUGGUAUGCAAUGUACAUCCACCCCAUUCACAGCCACCUUACUAAGGAAGUAAACAGAGGAAAGAAGCAGAAAACCAUUACAGGACACCACACACAUUGACUGUUAUAGUCCCUCACUCCUUGCCCUAGCCUGAUAAUUUGAUUUUCGUGGACGUCCUGGUCGCAGGUAUUGUCGCCGGAUGGAAAGCAGAUUGUUUUCCCCAUGUUAUUGUGGUGCUCUACCGUUGCGAUUCAUAGGGCAGGAACUUCUUAAUGUUCCAUGCGAUCUGCCUGUAAUUUGUUUGUCCCCUUGACAUCUGCUCUGAAUUUGUCCCUGUAAUUGUAAAGCUACAUAUCAGUACUAAUUCAGAAAUCAUAGUUUGGCACAACGCAUAUUUAUAUUACUCACCUGAUAGUCAUUAAUUUAUGUAAAUUGUAAGUAGUUCACACAUAAAAAGGAUUCCGUGGUCAUAGACACACUUAUCAACAGUAUUAAAUUCUGGAUUGUUUUCUAGAUAAGCUGAUUGUGGGUUGCAACAUACAUGAGAUUCUAUACGAAAGAAGGUUGGUCUAAUAUGAAUUUUUAGGCCGAACAAAAACCAUCCUUGGUUAAUAUUGCAGGUAUUUGUUUUUCAGCAGUGAUGUUCUUGAUAGCUCGAGCACCAAGGGUGUUAAGGUUAGUAUUCGCUCACCAUAGCCAACAAGAAGGUCUUAAGUUCAGUAUUUGCUUGUGAUGGCUAAGAAGAAGCGACGUGAAGAAGGUUUAGUAGGUGGAACUAAAACUAAGCAUCUAUCAUACUGUAGGUUAGCAUAUACACGCCUUCUAUAUUCUAUGGAAUGUCGCCAUCUUAUUGGAACACUAAAAGUAGGAAACUCUACUAAAGUUUGAAUGUUAGUUUAAACUAAUAAGUGGGGCCUACUGAUACAUGCAUCAGAAUGAUGCAUUUUUACCGCAAAUUGUUGCUGCCUAUUCAUCCUCCUUAAUGUACAGAGCGAAUAUUUUGCCACAAUGCCAACUUCUAUUCAAUAACAUAUCUAAUAGGGGGGCCUUGGCCUUCUUCAGAUAAUUGCCACAAGAGGAGAACAGAUGUUUGAUAAUAAGAGAACAACACCAUGAAAACUUGUCCUCCGUAAUAUAUAAACAAGGUGUUUCACAAAAUUAAAUCAGUUGUUACUUGUUAGAUUGAUGUUGGUCGUUUUUUUCGAGAGAAGUACCCAUUACAUAAUCCCUUAUGGUAACUUCGAACGUGCUACCUUCAUUUGAGAACUAUAUAAUUUGUUGCCAUAUGUAUGAUAUGCACUUUCUUGGUACUGUGCUCUUUUUUUUAUACAAGUUUGUGUCUAUUUCCUUGAGUAAUUUUUCUCUGCUAGAAUAUGGUAAUUAACUGCUGGACCCUAAUAUAGACUGGAUAUGUAUUCCUUUCCAUAUCAUUGUUCGAUCGAAAAUGACUUAAAUAUGCCUGUUGGUUUAACAUUUUCUCUUGGGGUGAUUGCAGAAAUCCAAGUAUACAUGUGAUUUAGACUUACUGUGGUAGAUUCAUGAGAUGAUUCCGUAUUUGUUGAUGUUACAAAUGUUGAUGGGGCAAUUAGUGUGAAUAUACAACCGAUCAUACUAUUCUAAAUCAAGUAACAUGUGCAUAUUUUUGUUCCCUGUUUUGGUUAUUUUCUAACUACCAAUCCACUUAUGAAGUCAAGUGAUAUAUAGUGAAACUGAUUUGGCAUUUUUUUCCAGGCCUACUGGAUGUACUAAAAUCAGCUGAUUUAUUUUAUGUCCUUUGGGUGAGAUCUCAAAUGGAUUGUAGCCUGUCUAUUUUUUUUUAUCGUUAGCCAAAAUAUAUUCAUCUUCUUUUCCAGUACAUUUGAGAAGGGUUAAAUGACUUAGUUGGAAUUAAUGUGUUGUUCCAGUAGAGGGCUUCAGAAUGGAUAAGUCAGUUUGUUUGUGCCUAUAUCAUAUAUGUACAAGGUAACAUAAGCUACACAAUGAUCUUUUAAGAAUAAUUUCUUUAUAAUAUCUGGAAUUGAUAAAUGAAGAAUUA
Molecule: RNA transcript, 4887 nt
Organism: Lolium perenne
Lineage: Eukaryota; Viridiplantae; Streptophyta; Magnoliopsida; Poales; Poaceae
Source: RefSeq, a predicted model, not a curated record